AACGAACGCUGGCGGCAUGCCUAACACAUGCAAGUCGAACGAGACCUUCGGGUCUAGUGGCGCACGGGUGCGUAACGCGUGGGAAUCUGCCCUUGGGUUCGGAAUAACAGUUGGAAACGACUGCUAAUACCGGAUGAUGACGUAAGUCCAAAGAUUUAUCGCCCAAGGAUGAGCCCGCGUAGGAUUAGCUAGUUGGUGAGGUAAAGGCUCACCAAGGCGACGAUCCUUAGCUGGUCUGAGAGGAUGAUCAGCCACACUGGGACUGAGACACGGCCCAGACUCCUACGGGAGGCAGCAGUGGGGAAUAGUGGACAAUGGGCGAAAGCCUGAUCCAGCAAGGCCGCGUGAGUGAUGAAGGCCUUAGGGUUGUAAAGCUCUUUUACCCGGGAUGAUAAUGACAGUACCGGGAGAAUAAGCUCCGGCUAACUCCGUG
Molecule: ribosomal RNA, 433 nt
Filed under: uncultured bacterium
Lineage: Bacteria
Description: partial 16S ribosomal RNA
Rfam family: Bacterial small subunit ribosomal RNA
Source: RNAcentral